RNAcentral lists this ribosomal RNA (775 nucleotides) under uncultured Neocallimastigales. Its description in RNAcentral is "partial large subunit ribosomal RNA". It matches the Rfam family "Eukaryotic large subunit ribosomal RNA", at positions 24 to 616 of the family's 3401-position model. The record is from RNAcentral. Lineage: Eukaryota; Fungi; Neocallimastigomycota; Neocallimastigomycetes; Neocallimastigales.
UAUCUCUGUAGAGUCUGCAUAUCAAUAAGCGGAGGAAAAGAAACUAACUAGGAUUCCCUCAGUAACGGCGAGUGAAGCGGGAAGAGCUCAAAUUUGAAAUCUUCAAGGUUCUACCUUGACGAAUUGUAGUUUAAAGAAGUGUUUUCUGUUAGAGGAGUUAGUAAAAGUUCUUUGGAAUAGGACAUCAUAGAGGGUGAGAAUCCCGUAUUUGACUAUUCUUUCUAGCUUUGUGAUACACUUUCAAAGAGUCGGAUUGUUUGGGAAUGCAGUCCAAAAUGGGUGGUAAAUUUCAUCUAAAGCUAAAUAUUGGCGAGAGACCGAUAGCGAACAAGUACCGUGAGGGAAAGAUGAAAAGAACUUUGAAAAGAGAGUUAAACAGUACGUGAAAUUGUCAAGAGGGAAGCGUUUGACACCAGUGUUGUUUUCUCGAAAAUCAAUUAAAAAUGGCUUGAUUUUGUGUUGUAUUGACCUUAAAAGCUUUCUUCACUUUUUUCAUGUCUUUUUUAAUGCACUUUUCGUUUAACAAGUCAACAUCAGUUUCUUUUGUUGUAAAAAGGUCAUUGGAAGGUGGCUUCCUUUUCGGAGAAAGUGUUUAUAGCCUUUGACUCCUGCAAUCGGAGAGACUGAGGUCUGCAGCGUAGAUCCUUCUGGAUUAGAUUCAUUUGUGCUAAGUUACAACCGUUUAUAGACAACUUGUUGACUAUGUUUAGUCAUGUAGCUUACUCGUAAGUGCUAUUUUACCUACGCUUAGGAUGUUGAGCGCAUGUCUCUCUCU